Molecule: long non-coding RNA, 1893 nt
Organism: Cygnus olor (mute swan)
Lineage: Eukaryota; Metazoa; Chordata; Aves; Anseriformes; Anatidae
Exons: 3
Source: RefSeq, a predicted model, not a curated record
UAUGAUUUUAAGAAUUAUGGGUAUAGGACUGUAACCAACCUGCCAGGGUUCCUUCAUGAGAAAGGGUGACUGGCAGAGAAGAUCUGGUAGUGCUGAAGAGGAGAUGAACCUUUUCAAGCUGGUGAUAAUGAACUGGAGGAAUGAGAUUCUGAGAACCCUCUGUCAGAAGGCUCGUGUCCUGGGACAGGAUAAGUUGGGGACCAGACGAAGUUGGCUCAAGUGGGCCUCUAAAUGCAUUGGCGAAGCCGUGGAAGUGGCGGAGAGCGGUGCCAUAGGAGCAGAACUGAAGUGAGAGAUCCAGCCUUACUGUGUGAGGGGACAGGGAGCUAAGGUAAAGGCUGUGCUGGUCACCUUGUGAUCUCCCUGGGAGCGCUAAGUGCUGGGGGUCAUCUUUACCGAGAGCCCAACAGCGUGCUCAGGGGACAAGCUCCCAGCGUGCUAAUCCGGCAUUCCGAAGGGGAGCAGGAAUGGGGCGCUUGCCGAGAAACAUGCGUGCUUGGGGGGGAAGUACGUAGCAUUUACCUAAAGCAGCAGGCAGGGCGUGUCGGACGGUGCUUUUUAAACAGGAGGGCUGGGAGCUGAAACCAGAACAUUCCCUGGCAAUUGGAGAAAGUUCUGAGGAAAGUGCAGUGUGAGCGGCAGGACCCCCUCCCCCUGCCUAGAGUGGAGACAAAGAACAGGCAAGGAGGGAACUGAAAUAGGAAGCAGGAACCAUGUCAGGAGACUGGGGACUAAAAGAAAGCAAAUUAAAAAGCCAGUAUGAACCGCUGGGGGGAAAGGCACGCAACUGACUGAAGCCACUAGGAAAGAUAAGCGAAUUCCAGAUUCUUUAACUGCUGCAAGUGUGUGCACAUGCAGCCUGGCUAGUGUGUUUAAAUAUAAUCCUUUUCUUCACCACAGCAAGUACAACUCUUGGUUUAUGGCACACUAACAGACUAACAGGAUGGGAGCACUGCAUUAUACAUGUAAUAGAGUGCGUGUUCAUCAACAUCGCUACCACUCAAACAACCUCAGAUUUCCCAAAAUACACGUUCAUAUCACGGCACGUGCAUACGUAAUGCAGUAAUAAAAAGCUACCGGCAGUAUUCUGCCUGCGGUGUAGUCAGCUUCCAGCAGAAGGAAGAGAAACCCAGCAUACAGGCUGAGGGCAGCGCGUGGCCUUAAGUGUUAAUGUAAUAUAGCAUUUUGGAAGUUGGAAGCUUGGUGCGCUCAUUUGCACAUCAGUACCCAGAAUGCUUUUUCGGUUCCACCACUGUUUAAUUCAAGUGCUGGGUUCAAGCUCUUGGAACGCUCCAGUUUGAGAUGCCCUUGCAUGUGCUGAGUUCAGUAUUUUCCACUGAAUAGUUUAAGUGACAAUACUGGAUUGUGAAUGGGUCAUCCAAGGAUUCUUAAUUAGCCUUGAUGUUCCACAUGCAAAAAACUGCCCUUGAACGCUUUCAAAACGCAUUGUCUUUAACAAAGCAAAGAACCUAGUUUUGCAAGAGCGCGUGUUUGGGGGAAAACAUUUAUUCAAAAGUAAGCAACAAUUUUUCUGAGACGGAAAGCAAAUUUCAGCUGAACGUGACUGAUGAUAAUGCUGCUGCUGCUGCUGCUUAAAGAGGAGCUCUUCGUACCGAGCGCGUGAUCACCCAGGGGAGGUUCAGCACCGGGCCGGUGCAGGCAGCCCCCGGCAGCGGCCCGCAGCCUUUCGGGGCGGCUUCCCCGGGGCCAGCGGCAGCCUGGCAGCGCGGGCGUGGGAACGGCGGGGCAGCGGAGGCCCCGCGGGGAGGCCGUUCCCCCAACAUGGAGGCAGCGCUCGAGGCUGCGCCUCCCGCAGCCCCCUGCCCGCGGGUACCGCUUCUCCCAGCCGCUCCUGGCGGGGGGAAUCUCUGCACCGGGGGAGAAGGGGGUGAA